GCGGAUGUGGCGGAACUGGUAGACGCGCACGGUUCAGGUCCGUGUGGGCGAAAGCCCGUGGAGGUUCAAGUCCUCUCAUCCGCA
This 84-nucleotide transfer RNA is filed under the name Gaiellaceae bacterium. RNAcentral's name for it is "tRNA-Leu". It matches the Rfam family "tRNA". Rfam says of the family: Transfer RNA (tRNA) molecules are approximately 80 nucleotides in length. Their secondary structure includes four short double-helical elements and three loops (D, anti-codon, and T loops). Further hydrogen bonds mediate the characteristic L-shaped molecular structure. tRNAs have two regions of fundamental functional importance: the anti-codon, which is responsible for specific mRNA codon recognition, and the 3' end, to which the tRNAs corresponding amino acid is attached (by aminoacyl-tRNA synthetases). tRNAs cope with the degeneracy of the genetic code in two manners: having more than one tRNA (with a specific anti-codon) for a particular amino acid; and 'wobble' base-pairing, i.e. permitting non-standard base-pairing at the 3rd anti-codon position. The record is from RNAcentral. RNAcentral also lists the same sequence under 2 other names. Lineage: Bacteria; Bacillati; Actinomycetota; Thermoleophilia; Gaiellales; Gaiellaceae.